RNAcentral lists this ribosomal RNA (281 nucleotides) under uncultured bacterium. Its description in RNAcentral is "partial 16S ribosomal RNA". It matches the Rfam family "Bacterial small subunit ribosomal RNA", at positions 333 to 611 of the family's 1533-position model. The record is from RNAcentral.
UGACUCCUACGGGAGGCAGCAGUGAGGAAUAUUGGUCAAUGGGAGAGAUCCUGAACCAGCCACGCCGCGUGAGGGAAGACGGCCCUAUGGGUUGUAAACCUCUUUUGUCGGAGAACAAAACCCGGGACGUGUCCCGGACUGCGUGUAUCCGAAGAAAAAGCAUCGGCUAACUCCGUGCCAGCAGCCGCGGUAAUACGGAGGAUGCGAGCGUUAUCCGGAUUUAUUGGGUUUAAAGGGUGCGUAGGCGGUCCGUUAAGUCAGCGUUAAAAUUGCGGGGCGCA